This 69-nucleotide transfer RNA is filed under the name Athene noctua. RNAcentral's name for it is "tRNA-His". It matches the Rfam family "tRNA". From Rfam's summary of the family: Transfer RNA (tRNA) molecules are approximately 80 nucleotides in length. Their secondary structure includes four short double-helical elements and three loops (D, anti-codon, and T loops). The record is from RNAcentral. Lineage: Eukaryota; Metazoa; Chordata; Aves; Strigiformes; Strigidae.
GCAAGUAUAGUUUAAAAAAAACAUUAGCCUGUGAUCCUAAAGACAGAAGUUUAACCCUUCUUACCUGCC